ACGCGUGAAGCGGACAGAGCUCCACUACCACCCUCCCAUUACCAGCCUUCCCCGGCACCCCCGAGCAGACUUUGCAGCGCUUUAUUUUUAACGGAACAACAGAGCGCGGCGAGCAAACUGCUGCUCCGCGCAGGGCAAGAGAAAUGGGUUUUUAAUAGGCAAGGUCGGCGUGCUUGGCAGCCGGCCAUCGCGGCCGGGGAAAUAAACAAACAGAGGAGCUGCAACUUCAGGUCGGAGCAGAAGUUGCGCUCCCGGCGAGAUGAGCCCGCGGCAUGGUCCUGGGGGCGAGUAUGCAGCCGCGUACGGAGCUGCCGCGGAGAGCAUCUCCGGUCCCCUGACCCCUCACCUCGGCCCCGCGGCCCCGGGACAGGAGCGGGGCCGGGGCAAGCAACCCCCCUGCGCUGCCGGGCGCGGUGCCGGCGGGCUGGCAGCGGGCGGAGGGCAGAUGGCCACCCUUGUUUAUCGCGUUCCGGCGGUGCCGCACGCCUAACUGCUGCUGUGCGGCACGGCCGGCCCCGGAGAGGCAGGAAGGGAGAGGUGAAGGGAGCGGGAGCGGAGCCUCCCGAUCGUGAAGCGGCAAUACGGAGUCUGCCGGAGGGUUUGCAGCCCUGCCCGGGGGUUCCCGCUCCCUCCGCCGCCGGGGCUCGGCCGUGUCGGCCCCGCUGGCCGCACCGCGGGGGCGCCGCGCUCCCGCUCUGGCGGCGCAUUCCGGGCUCGGUGCCGAGCACUCUCGGCUGCCGCGCAUCAGCCGCCCCGCUGCCUCCCGCCGCCGCCUCGCUCACUGCCGGCUCUGCAGGCGGCAGGGCAGAGCUGAUCCCGCAGCCUCUCCAGUGGCGCUGGCCCCGACUGGCCUGCACGUCUCCCUCGAGGAACGAGCCCGAGCAGGGGCUGGGGGGGCUGGGGUCCGCUGUUCCCAUCGCUCUUCCCAAGCCUUUCUGCAGCGCCGGCCACCGCAGGCCCACACAGGGGGAGAGGCGGCCCCCGCCUGAGCAGGGGUUGUGCAGCCCCUCAGCUCGCAGAGGGCUCGGAGGGGGACACCACUUUUGCUAA
RNAcentral lists this long non-coding RNA (1050 nucleotides) under Parus major (Great Tit). Its description in RNAcentral is "lncRNA (ENSPMJG00000011010.1)". The record is from RNAcentral. Lineage: Eukaryota; Metazoa; Chordata; Aves; Passeriformes; Paridae.